Labeo rohita (rohu) is the source of this 939-nucleotide long non-coding RNA. RefSeq lists it as uncharacterized. The record is from RefSeq and is a predicted model, not a curated record. The transcript has 3 exons. NCBI's taxonomy places the organism in Eukaryota, Metazoa, Chordata, Actinopteri, Cypriniformes, Cyprinidae.
GCAAAGGAUCCACUGGUGAGCAAAUGAUUUAAUGCUGAAUUUCUCCAAAUCUCAACUACAUCUUGGACGGCCUGAGGGUGAGUACAUAUUCAGCGUAAUUUCUUCUUUAGUGCUAGUCUUUUAAGUGGUAGAUGCGUUCGACUAAAUUUCACAGCCUUCGAAAGGUCACGUUGCAAUUAUAUAGCGCUCAACAAAAAAAGGCCUAAGCUUAAAAGUGUUAAAUAUAGUUACUCGGAUCCUUUGUUCAGUUUGCCAAACUGCGACGUAGGCAUCACGGUGGCUUGUCAUUAUAACAGCAUUUAAUGAUUAUGUAUUAUUAUCUUGGCUUAUAUCUACGUGCGGUUGGAGACUAAUGGCCAUAGCAACAGACACCGCGAGGUGUUUCUCGACACCCGACGAACGUGAUUGAGGUUGGAGCGUUGGCAAGCUGUCGGCACACCACAGUCAUCCUGGCACUGGGAAGGAGCUAGUCAGCGUCACCAGCCCCACACGAGUACGAUAUCCACCUGGUUUUUGAGACAAAUAGGUUUCACUGAGAGACGGCGGGGUCGUGCCACAAAGGAGAGGAGCGAAAGAAAACAUCUCCAAACGAGGCCACAAACCAGAUCUCUGUCUCUUUCUGUCUUGCUCGUUUGCUUAUGCACCAGCAAAUGGCUGUAUUCAGUGUUUUACACUCUUCAAAUUAACAUCAAUUACUGGAAGACGUCAGUUUUUCCUCGAAUGUUAAUUAGAGGCUAAUGAUUGAGGUUGAGCAGUAUGUGUGAAAUGCAUCAUGGCUAAUGAAAGACGAAUGUUGUUUAUCAUUUGUGCAGCCAUCGCUUUCAUUUAAAGAUUAAGUGUGGGGUUUCGUCGCAUUUUCAGUUUUUGGAAGUCCCCAGAGAUGAGGUUCGCAUGCAAGAAGUAGUCAAGGCCUGGCCUGUGUGCUCGCUAGUAGCAUUA